This 581-nucleotide ribosomal RNA is filed under the name Mycetocola sp. a6. Its description in RNAcentral is "bacterial SSU rRNA". It matches the Rfam family "Bacterial small subunit ribosomal RNA", at positions 100 to 695 of the family's 1533-position model. Lineage: Bacteria; Bacillati; Actinomycetota; Actinomycetes; Micrococcales; Microbacteriaceae. The record is from RNAcentral.
GAACGGGUGAGUAACACGUGAGUAACCUGCCCUUGACUCUGGGAUAAGCGUUGGAAACGACGUCUAAUACCGGAUAUGAACCGUGGAGGCAUCUCCUGCGGUUGGAAAGAACUUCGGUCAAGGAUGGACUCGCGGCCUAUCAGGUAGUUGGUGAGGUAACGGCUCACCAAGCCGACGACGGGUAGCCGGCCUGAGAGGGUGACCGGCCACACUGGGACUGAGACACGGCCCAGACUCCUACGGGAGGCAGCAGUGGGGAAUAUUGCACAAUGGGCGAAAGCCUGAUGCAGCAACGCCGCGUGAGGGACGACGGCCUUCGGGUUGUAAACCUCUUUUAGCAGGGAAGAAGCGAAAGUGACGGUACCUGCAGAAAAAGCACCGGCUAACUACGUGCCAGCAGCCGCGGUAAUACGUAGGGUGCAAGCGUUGUCCGGAAUUAUUGGGCGUAAAGAGCUCGUAGGCGGUUUGUCGCGUCUGCUGUGAAAACGCGAGGCUCAACCUCGCGCCUGCAGUGGGUACGGGCAGACUAGAGUGCGGUAGGGGAGAUUGGAAUUCCUGGUGUAGCGGUGGAAUGCGCAGAU